AUUGAACGCUGGCGGCAUGCCUUACACAUGCAAGUCGAACGGCAGCACGGGGGCAACCCUGGUGGCGAGUGGCGAACGGGUGAGUAAUGUAUCGGAACGUACCCAGUCGUGGGGGAUAACUAUCCGAAAGGAUAGCUAAUACCGCAUACGUCCUGAGGGAGAAAGCGGGGGAUCGCAAGACCUCGCGCGAUUGGAGCGGCCGAUAUCGGAUUAGCUAGUUGGUGAGGUAAAGGCUCACCAAGGCGACGAUCCGUAGCGGGUCUGAGAGGACGACCCGCCACACUGGAACUGAGACACGGUCCAGACUCCUGCGGGAGGCAGCAGUGGGGAAUUUUGGACAAUGGGGGAAACCCUGAUCCAGCCAUUCCGCGUGAGUGAAGAAGGCCUUCGGGUUGUAAAGCUCUUUCAGCAGGAACGAAACGGCCGACUUUAAUAAAGUCGGCUAAU
Molecule: ribosomal RNA, 447 nt
Filed under: uncultured bacterium
Lineage: Bacteria
Description: bacterial SSU rRNA
Rfam family: Bacterial small subunit ribosomal RNA
Source: RNAcentral